RNAcentral lists this ribosomal RNA (725 nucleotides) under uncultured marine bacterium. RNAcentral describes it as "bacterial SSU rRNA". It matches the Rfam family "Bacterial small subunit ribosomal RNA", at positions 56 to 776 of the family's 1533-position model. The record is from RNAcentral.
UGCAGUCGAACGGUAACAGCAAGAGCUUGCUCUUGGCUGACGAGUGGCGGACGGGUGAGUAACGCGUAGGGAUCUGCCUUAUAGAGGGGGAUAACCUUAGGAAACUGAGGCUAAUACCGCAUAUGCUCUUCGGAGUAAAGGCUGCACUUGUGCAGUCACUAUAAGAUGAACCUGCGUUAGAUUAGUUAGUUGGUGGGGUAAAGGCCUACCAAGGCGACGAUCUAUAGCUGGUCUGAGAGGAUGAACAGCCACACUGGGACUGAGACACGGCCCAGACUCCUACGGGAGGCAGCAGUGGGGAAUAUUGGACAAUGGGGGCAACCCUGAUCCAGCAAUGCCGCGUGUGUGAAGAAGGCCUGCGGGUUGUAAAGCACUUUCGUUGGGGAGGAUGGUGGAUGUUGUUAAUAGCAGCAUUCAUUGACGUUACCCAAAUAAGAAGCACCGGCUAACUCUGUGCCAGCAGCCGCGGUAAUACAGAGGGUGCAAGCGUUAAUCGGACUGACAGGGCGUAAAGGGCGUGUAGGCGGCGUAGUAAGUCGGAUGUGAAAUGGCAGGGCUCAACCUUGUCAGGUCAUCCGAUACUGCUAUGCUAGAGUGCAGGAGAGGGAAGUGGAAUUUCCGGUGUAGCGGUGAAAUGCGUAGAUAUCGGAAGGAACACCAGUGGCGAAGGCGACUUUCUGGCCUGCAACUGACGCUGAGACGCGAAAGCGUGGGUAGCGAACAGG